AGAAGCAAUACCGCGAGGUGGAGCAAAACUUCAAAAAUAGGUCUCAGUUCGGACUGUAGGCUGCAACUCGCCUACAUGAAGCUGGAGUUGCUAGUAAUCGCGAAUCAGCAUGUCGCGGUGAAUACGUCCCCGGGCCUUGUACACACCGCCCGUCACACCAUGAGAGUUGGCAAUACCCAACGUACGUGAUCUAACCCGCAAGGGAGGAAGCGUCCUAAGGUAGGGUCAGCGAUUGGGGUGAAGUCGUAACAAGGUAAC
RNAcentral lists this ribosomal RNA (258 nucleotides) under uncultured bacterium. RNAcentral's name for it is "partial 16S ribosomal RNA". It matches the Rfam family "Bacterial small subunit ribosomal RNA", at positions 1245 to 1500 of the family's 1533-position model. The record is from RNAcentral.